UGCACCAGGAUGGGUGACAGGACACCCAGUCUUGGGCCUGCCACAGCCGAGGCCCAGGGCAGCUCAGAGAAGGCAGAUUGACUCAGGAGCUUUACCUGCCUCAAGGUAGAGGGUCAGAAGGCUGCGGUUGGGUUGGCCCACACCUCACCUGGCGAGGGCCAGGGGGAGAUACCAGCUGGAGGCCCGAGCAGCGUGGGCCAUUUCCUGGGCCAAAAGUAUCCCCAGCAAGGAGCAGGGUCCCACCAGCGCAGCAUUCAUGCAAGACUUGGCUCGUCUUCGCCCCUGGUUCCUGGACAGGUAACCUCUACAUGCUGGUAAUUUCAUGGUGUGUCUGGACCAUACCUGAUAG
This 349-nucleotide long non-coding RNA is filed under the name Dasypus novemcinctus (nine-banded armadillo). Its description in RNAcentral is "lncRNA (ENSDNOG00000051165.1)". The record is from RNAcentral. Lineage: Eukaryota; Metazoa; Chordata; Mammalia; Cingulata; Dasypodidae.